CUUAAUUUUCUUUCAUCUUCAUUGAUAGUACUACACAUAGCCUACCUUUACAAAAAAUACAACCUCCAACAUUACCAAAAAGCCCAACAUAUUACUCACCUUCAUUAACUUAUAAUCUAACACCUCUAAUUAACCCACUUUUCGACAACUUCUGUUCCUUCUGUGUCUCUGUCUAUGAGUGUCAACACCGCUGCCAGGCGUCAAGCGUUCCAAGGAUCCACGCAUCUUCCACAUCUGUUGAAAAAUUUAUUAUUCAGUACCAUAGCAUAACCCUUCUAUUAAAACCACGAGUAAAUUUUUAAUGUUAUUGUCAUGAUUAGUUUUGCUUCGAUUUCACAGAAUAUACGCACACACUUCAAACAAAAAUUGGAAAAGAGAUAGCUAUUUUCGUAUCUGCGUCGUUAUCAGAGAUAAUAUGCAAGCCUUCUGUAUAAGCCUCUGACCAAAAUUAUUUUACUCUUAGAAUUUAAUGACAAUUUGAAGGUUGAGAGUCAUGAAAUGAUGCUUUAUGAGCUAAAUACACUUGAAUGGGAUGACCUCGUGCUUUCAAAUGACAACACCUCUACUAAAGCCACUAGUGAAACACCAAGUGACAAUGGAUGGACAGAGGAACUCAAACAUGGGAAGCGAAUUGAAUCUCGAUAUAGUCACUGCUGCAGUUUAUGGUGGAAUGUGCAUGGGGGUAUUAACUGUGCUUUGAGACUUGAUGAUGGGUCCAUUUGGCAUAGGAGAUGAUAUCAUGCUUGCUGCUACCAUCUUUUGUGAGUUAUCUGAGACAUUAGAAAAGCAACAUGACCUCUGAACUUGGCUUUAAGGAAUUAGUUUCUUUUUUGAUUGGCAACUAGCUUACAGUUAGUUUAGUUAGUUGGCCUUCUUGUAAAUAACAAUUAAUUUCACUAGUUUAUGUAUUUGGAUAUUUGGAUUUGGUUUGCGGGUUUUGAUGUCUAUACCAAAGCCAACGGUUAUACAGGAGCCGAUCCUUAUAAAAUAUCAUUUCAAGUUGGAAGAGAAAAGUUCUUAAUCCCAUGGCUUCCUGUGGUAAACCAAAAAAGUACAGAGGUUUCGAUGAUCGAAGUAGAAUUGACAAUGUGUUUAAGAUAGUUCUGAUAUAGGAACUUAUCGAGUUUAUCUAAUUAUUCUAGUUAUUAAUUGGAUCAUAUGAGUUCAUGGAUGCAAAACAACAAAGACUUUUUGAAAUAAAAGCUUUCUACUUCAAUGUUUCUAAGGUUUAUUUUAAACUGUCAACAGAUAGGCAGUUUUUGCUUUUUUUUCAUUGUAAUUUGGAAUUUUCGUGUAGUAGUACUUGUAUUAUAGGGUAUACUAUUUGUAUUAUUAGAGGAUUGUGAUUUAAACGAAUAUAAGUUUGAAUUUAGUUA
Molecule: long non-coding RNA, 1376 nt
Organism: Arachis ipaensis
Lineage: Eukaryota; Viridiplantae; Streptophyta; Magnoliopsida; Fabales; Fabaceae
Source: RefSeq, a predicted model, not a curated record